RNAcentral lists this long non-coding RNA (37269 nucleotides) under Ananas comosus (pineapple). RNAcentral's name for it is "long non-coding RNA (ACOM_LNC011134)". The record is from RNAcentral. Lineage: Eukaryota; Viridiplantae; Streptophyta; Magnoliopsida; Poales; Bromeliaceae.
CGGUUGAAUAACUUUAAAAAAGGAUAUGAUGAUAUAUAUUAACAAUGUAUACAAGACAAUUUCCCCUCUAUCGUAUUUUUGUACUAUAAACAUGUGUGUUUGUUCAGCAGCUGCAUGAGAAGAACUCCGAACUCUGAACUCCAAACUGUAUUUGCAAAUGAGUAGAAUCUAAGCAAGAAGAAUUUUCACGAACUCCGAAAAUCUUCAGGCCGUUGCAAGCACUCCUGGGGAUUGGCAUAGAAAUAGUCUUCUUCCUUGGGUCGAUCAGGAAUCACCACUCGCCUCGAAGGCAUUCCCAUGCGAUCCGAAUGGGCCGCCUUUAUCGAAGAGGAGAAUUCACCCCACCGCAAGGUGUCACUGUUGUAGCGGUCGACGAGCUCAACAAUAAGUUUUCGAUUCAAUAGGAUUGUCUUCCUGAAGCCUAAGCAUCUGCGAUGGCCUUCGACAACUUUUGCCAUGUUCCCGUCGUACGUUGGAACAAAUACAUCGCUUUCUAGCGAUACUAAAUAAUCCAAAGCCGCCAUUUGAGAUGAAUGGUUCUGGAAUAAUCUAAGAUCUGAAGGCUCCAGGAUUGUUUCCUUCCUGACCUGCAUAGAAUUGCUGAACAAAUCAGACAAAAUUAUAUACAAAGAUUGGAAAAAGGGGGAGAGGAUGGAAGUUUAAUAGAUAAACCAUAUCUUGUAUUGCAGACACACCACAUCAGGAUAAGCUGCAGUAAGUGCAGCCAUUCUCUUCUGCUUGCUGUAUAUUUCUCCCGCUGCGAUGUAUAUUUGGACGCUGCGAUCAAUAUCGAGUGCCCUCAGAACAAGAGCAGUCUUUUCUGGUGUCAAAGGACAGAGACCUUCUUUCCUCUUCAAAUAGGAGUUGAUAACUUUCUCUUUCCACCAUGGAUAAGCAUAUCUGAAAGCCAUUCCCACGGUUUCACAUUAAGCCAACAUGAACUCAGGAUUCAAAGGCUAGAAACUCGCACACGACCAUUUCAGUAAAACAACCAUUUUAAUCCUCUUAUGCGAUUCGUAAAUAAGUGUCUUAAGAGUCACAGUUUUCACAAAACUACAGAGAUGUCAAGCAUCUUAGGCAAUCACAAUAAAGGGUAAAAUGAAAGGGAAACUGAUCAGCCAUACCUCAUUCUCGUAAGCUCUUCUGCUUCUUCGUCCGUGCAACCUUGGGUACAGCCGGAAAAGGCCAACAUGUCCAUUUCAUAGCGUAAGUGAAGAACCAAAAAAGGGCCAUUUUGACGGAGAAUUUUGAUCACCUGUUUGCCCAAUUCUUCGAUUUGAGAGGUAAAUUUCAGAUUGGCAUAAUUCACUCGACAUCGCAUCUUAUGAAUCUCUAUAGGAAGGCCAUUAUUAGCAAGCCGGGCGUCGGUUCUAUUCAAAUGUAUGCUUCCGAAUCAAAGAAAGAAUCUGUUUUCAAAUUAAACUGAAUCUUAGCACUGUUACUAAUAGAGAAAUGAUCAAAAUCAUUUAACGCUUGAAAAAGACAUAAGAAAACCUGAUUUUGGUAAUAGGAAAUAUCAGACCAACAAACAGGUGGCAUGGAAUAAACCAUCCCUAGUUCCACCCUUCUUUUUAGCCUUGGCGGAAGGUGCUUUAAUAUUUGGACCUCGUCUCUUAAUGAAUUUAUAUAAUGAUCCACAUCAAAUAUGUCUUGAAAAUCACUACAACAUUAAAGAAAGUUGAAAAAAAUAAAAUUUCUUAAUCUUAAAGAAGAGAAGAAAAGUGGAAGCUAAUGGAAAGAAAAUUUUGCUUUAAAAAGACAAGCACACCUGGUAUCAGCCCAAAACGAGGUCUUAUCAAGUUCUGGUACUAUUAGAGUCACAUUCAAGUAUCUUGCAACAGUAACCAUAUCACAUAUCUAAGGAAAUAGAGUGAUACCCAAGAAGAGUCGCAGCAUAAGAGGUUAUCAGAAUUGCAUUUUCACUAUGAUAAGACCAAAAUUCUAAAGCAAAAGCAAAUAAAUAUAGUUAGAAAGUCACAAGUCUAAACAGAUGCUUACAGCUGCUCGCAUCUGAUUAAGCCCCCCGUUGCAUGAGACCAUUAGAUAACCACUAUUCUUGUAGAUCCCUAACGAGAACAUAUGUAGUAUCGAAUGUGAGAUGCAUGAUAUACAAAUGUAACAAGUAAUAUUUUAUUAGACAAUAAUAACACUAGAAGUGGAUUAAUUAAAAGGCCACCAAACAGCUAAAGGAAAACUUUCAAAACAAUAUCUGAAUGAAGAACAAUAUUAAAAUGAUUUUAAGUUGGUGGAUACAAUGAACAGAGAUUGGAUAAUAGAAUUCACAAAUUGUUGAUUCAUAAAGUGAGAGAUUUACAAAAUAAUAGGGUAAAUGUCCAAAUGGCUCCGCAGGAAUGGUCCUUAAUGUUAAGACAACCUCGAUAACAUGGCCAAACAACAAAAUCAUAAAAGCAAAGCAAUAAGCGGAAUCCGUAAUGAUAAAGACAUACCAGCUAAUAACAUAUAACGCAACCAAAAGCAACCUAAAGUUAGGAGAAUUAAUUAAACCAAUAUAAUUAUAUAAGGUGCCCUAAUUGCUUACAGAAGUGAUCAAAAGAACACCCGAAUGAAAAAAGCCAAAAUUGACAUCCUAAUUCUGAGGCCACACUUUCUGGAGAGUCAUUCAUUUUAGGACUAUUCUAACUCUAACACGCUUAACUCUCUUAAUUUUUUGGACUAACCACCGCCCAAAAUUUUAUAGUUAGGUUAAGAGAUUUAACUCUAUUAUAUCUUACAUAAAGGACAAUUCUAAAUCCCGGAGUCUUAUAUUAAUAAUAACAGAAAAUUAAGCAAACAAACAAACGGAAGCAACAAUGCAAGUUUUCUUCUUGCAUAUUGAAAGGUGGAGUUCUCACUUUUCGGGGGGAGGACGACGAGCUUGUCUGCCACCGAAGAUGGGGAGGUGUAGCGCAAGAGGACCAUCCUUUGAGGACUGCUGGCCCCCAAAUCCCCACGACCGCCGUUAGCUGGACGAUGCAUGUCCACAGAAGAGCAGCGACGGCGGCGCACACCAUCCACAUCUUCAUAUGCGAUCUUGACAGGACUGCUGCUGCUGCCGCUGCGGCAGCAGAAACCUAUAAACUUCUUCUUGCAGUCGGUAAUAUAAGAUAGCGAGAAAGAAAAAAAAACCGACGCUUUGUGACGAAGUAGCGACUGCUAAUGUUGUUGCUGCUGCAGCCAGCAGUAGAAGCAACUGUGUUCUUUACGGCUACAGCUGAUUCUCCAGGUACCAAAAAUUUUUUCUCGCCCCGCCAAUGCUGCCCCUGCAUCUGGACUAUUGCAUCAUGUUCAACGCCAUUGCAAAGCCGUAGGAGCUGUGUGGGGGCUCCGUAUCAUGUUAGUAACACUAAUUCCUAUUAAAAUUUUCUUCCAAAACUGCACUUUUUUCCCUGUAUGUCGCUAAAUAUAUGAUGUAUAUUUUCAUUAUCAUUAACCAUCUUAAACUAGCUAGCUUAACUAGAUGGGUAUGUGUUGAUGUGUUGUUUUUUGAUGACUAAACUAGCUAAGUACAUAUCUAGCUAGCAAGCUAUGUAUAUGUUUUUGUAUCGUUGUUCUCUAUGACUAAUUUUAUGAAACUGUACCGUAUCAGCAUAAUAACAACUCUAUUUUUUUCGGCUUUCAGUAUUUACAAAUUAACAAAAAUAAUUUACAUUUAUAGUUAAAAAUUCUUUCUUUUUUCUUAUUUGCAAGUUGACUCACAUAUACAAAACAAAAGUGUAAAAAAAGAAAAAAGAAAAAAAAAAGAAUUGAGGAUAAACAAGAAGAGGAUGAUACCUGAGCUCGAGUAAAGUACUAUAUAUAAAAAGAUAAUCACAAAGGAGCAAAUCCUUAGGAUAAUAAACAAGACCAAAUUAUCAUCAAUUCACCCCUAAAUAGAUGCCAAUUCUCCUAAAAAUAGUCAGAUAUUAUCAGCAAAAUAUUAUUAGCAAAAAUACGAGUUUUACAUCAGAUGGUACAACAAGGUAAUUUAGUUUUGUAACCAAGUCACCACCAAAUACCACCAGAAAAAAUAAAGAAGGGAAAAAUUAUGCCCCAAUCCACAUUCCCGUUCCCACCCAAAUCCCCCAAUCGGAACCGUGGAAUGCCAAAAAUUAACACCUAUUUUGCGAGAGGAGGAGAGGAGGACGAAGAAGAAGUAGAAGUAGUGAGGGGGAGGGGGAGGGGGACGGGGCAGGGGUGAUAGAGGAGGUGGCAGUCAGAGGACCUGGCGAUCGGCGGCGUCGGCGACGAGGGGCAACCUGGGGAUUUCGCCGAGGAGGCAGGCGGUGGAGCCGUAGACGAGGGAGACGAGCAAGAAGAAGAAGACGGUGCUGUCGACGCUCUGCAGGAUCUCGUAGCCGACCCCGUCGCUGGGGGCGAAGGACCGCUCGAGGAGGUCGGGGAAGAUGAGGAGGACGUCGAGGACGAUGGCCUGCAUCGUGUUGAACCGGACGUAGCGGCUGAAGCGGGAGGGGUUGCGCACCACCGCGAAGUAGAGGGUGAGGAAGAGGAGGAAGGGGGUGACCGGGGAAGAGCGGAAGAGCCGGAUCGCGGGGACGAGGGGCUGGAUUAGGGUUUGGAAGAAGGGGAACUGCGCGAGGACGAAGCGCCCGUACUGGACCCCGUCGAGGAAAGGGUAGAGAUAGCACGCGGCGGAGAGCACGCGAUCGGGGGGAUCGGCGGAGUCGCCGUUCUUCGCCGCCGCGGCGGAGGAGGGGCGGCGCCGCCUCUCCUCCAGCCGCAGGAGAAGAGGGAGAGUGGGGAGGUGGUGGUGUUGGUGGUGGCGGAGGAGAUAGGGUUUGGGAGGGGAGGAGAGGGAGAGAGGAGGACGAGGAGCGAAGGACAGGAGGAAAGACGAAGCCAUUGUUAGCUGAUACUCUCCUCCUCUCCUUCCUUUUCCCUUUAAUUUCUUAUUUUAUUUUUAUUUUUUUAAAAAUUUUUUUGAAUUAAAUAUAAUAUAUAUUUUUUAAACUAUAAAUUUAAUUAAUAAUUUAUUAUUUUAUAUUUUAUAUUCACUUAUGCAUCUCUCGAAACCUCUUAUCCUUACAUAAGUAUCCGUUAAUUUUUUGAAUUUUUUUUUAAUUCUUAAAUGGGAAAAAAUAUAAGAUAUACCCUCUAUACUUAGGGAUGCAAACGGGGCGGAUCCGGGGGCGAGAGAGUUCCUCCACCUCCCGAUCCAUUUCUUAUCGGGGCGGGGCGGAUUCGGGGCGGGUUACUUUUCAUUUUAUUUUUGGCUCCCACUUACCGCUCCAUUCGGGGCGGAUCGGGGCGGGAGCCGGAUUUUUGACGGAUCGGGACGGAUUGAAGGAAGAAAACAGUCUCCCACCUCCCGCUCCAUUUACUUGGCGGUUCGGGGCGGAUUCGGGGCGGGUUAUAUUUUUUUAUAUUUUUUGUUCCCACUUACCAUCCCAUUCGGGGCGAAUCGGGGCGGAGCUCCACCAACCCGGAUCCAUUUGCAUCCCUAUCUAUACUAGAGUAUACAAGUAAUAAUUUUUUAAAAAUAUAAGAUAUACACUCUAUAUCUGAACUUGUACGGUUGUACUACUUAAUUUCCGUACUGAAGAAAAAUUAUCAAAUCAUGAGGGCUAAACAACAAAAGUGACAAAAUGAGAAGUGGGCCGGUUGGAUUGCUUUUCAGGGGUGGUUGGACCCUCUCGCUAGGCUUUCCCGGCCCAGACUAUCGGUUGUCGGGCAUACGGUGUCGGAUCCUCCCUUCUCCGCAUCAUCCACGACCCGGCGGGUCUUGGAUCCGCCAUCUCCCUUCGAUCCGAGGCGCGGGCAGCCCUUAUCCGACAGCCCGAAGUAUUGGCAUUGCUGCUUCCUUAGAUCUCGGGUGGAUCCUCUCCUCUGCCCUGAUCUCCUCCGCCACCCUUACUCAGAGGGUGCCCUAGCCAUCCUCCUUCCGCCGGAUCGCUUCUCUCCACCAUGCUGCAGCCCCUAUACCCCUUUUAGCUAGUAAAAAACUAGUAUUUCUACUACUGGUCUACUACUCCUACUUACUACUUCUUGUUGUUAUUCAGGCUAUUACACCCUCCCGGUGCAGCCGCUACGUGCGGUUCAACACGAUGCAGGCCAUCGUCCUUGACGUCCUCCUCAUCUUCCCCGACAUCCUCGAGUUACGAGAUCCCGCAAAGCGCCGACAGCACCGUCUUCUUCUUCUUCUUCUUGCUCGUCUCCCUCGUCUACUGCUCCACCGCCUGCCUCCUCAGCCAAAUCCCCAGUUUGCCCGUCGUCGCCUACGCCGCCGAUCGCCAGGUCCUAUGAUUGCCAACUCCUCUAUCUCCCCCUCCCCCUCCCCCUAACUAGCCACUUUUUCUUCUUCCUCCUCCUCCUCCUCCUCCCCCCUCCUCUCGAAAAAAUAGGUGUCAUUUUUUGGCAUUUGACGGUUUCUGAUUUGGCGAUUUGGGUGGGAUCGGGAAACUGGAUUAGGGCAUAAUUUCUCUUGCUUAGAUUUUAUUCAUUUGCAAAAACAGGCCGGAGUUCAUCUCAUGUAGCUGCUGAAUUUUUGUUAACAUGUAAAUGCUGUAGGCCGAAAAGAACAUACUAUUGCUAAUAUUAGAGUUUCAUAAAAUUAGUUAUAUAACAACAACACAAAAACACAUAUAUAGCUAGCUAGCUAGACAUGGACCUAGCUAGUUUAGUCAUCAAACAAAAACACAACAAUACAUAGCUAUCUAGCUAGUUUAGUCUAUAAAUAACAACACAACAACAAUACAUUACUGAUAAUGAAAACAAGAAUGUGUUCCCAGCAAGAAGCCCCCGCACAGCUCUUAUGGCUUUGCAGUGCCGUUCAACAUGCGGCAGCAGGGCGGGAACAUAGGGCAGCAUCGGAUGCAGCAUGAAGGGCAUGAGCAGCAUUCUUCGCGGCAGCAUCCUGCUCCAAUGGGCAGGUCUUCGUCUGGAGAAUUAGCUGUAGCCGUAAGUAACAAAGUGCUAGCAGCAAGCAGCAACAACAUUACCAUCAUCAGAAAGUGUCGGCUGACCGACCGUUCCUAGAGCAAGUGGCAAAGGACUUGGUGGUCGGUACCCGAGACCCAAAUUCGAAUCUUAGUUGAUUCACAUUUCUAGCUAAGUUUAUUUCAAAAUAAAAUAAACGAAGUGCGUAACGUGCUACCUAUCUCUCUCUCAAAAAAAAAAAAGAAAAAAAAAGAAAAAAAAAAGAAGAGUGUCGGCUGCAUGAGGAAAUCAUUUUUUCUUUUUAAGAUAAGAAGUUGAUUUGUUUUUGAGUUACGGUAGCCAACUACCAUGGUAUUUAUAGCCAGGGCGGAGCCAUAUUGGGGCUGAGGGGGACGUGGUCCCUCUCAAAUUUUCAUAAUUUGCACAAGAGUCCUUAAUAAAUAAAAAAUUUUAAAAAUAUUUUUUGAUUUAAUUUUAAAAGUAGGAUGACUAACCUAUUUUUUAAAAAAGUUUGUGGGGCUAAUAUAGUGCUCUCUCAACUUUGAGUUUUAUUUUUAAUUUAGUACCUUUAUAACUUCUAAUUAUUUUUGAUAAAUUUUUUAUUUAAUUAAAUUAAAGGUUAUAUUAAAGUUAAUAACUCUGUCAACUAAUAAUUAUUUAUUAUCAUAAUUAUAUUUAGUAAAAAUUAAAAAAUUAAAUUAUUUACUGAAUUAUUAUUAGAUUUAAUAAAAUUUAAAGUUAUUUGAGUGAAAUAAUAUAAAUAAAAUAAUUAGAAGUUAAGUAAAUGUAAAUAAAAAAGAGGUAAAACUUUUUUUAUACUAAUUAUUUAAUCAAUAUAUUUUUUUAUUAAAAAUUUGACUAGGUAAAUUUUAUUUAUUUGCUAAAAUUUUAAUUUAUAUAUAUUUUGCCUCUCUUCAUAAUCGAGUGCUAGUUUCGUCCCUGUUCAUAGAGGUAGAGGGAGCAUAACUGUGCAAAAUUAGUCAAAGAUUUAGAAUUUAUUAACACUUAUAUAUGUAUUUUUAAAUUAAUUUGUGAACUUUACAUGUUGCUUUUGGUAUGCUAUUAAUGUAAAUUCUUUACAGUAUGACAAAAUAAUAAAGUAAUUACUGAGUGCAGCAAACUCCAAUUAGUUUGCAAUAUUAAAUACUAAAUCAUCACAUGUGCAAUAAUUUCAGUUAUUUUGGAAAAGUAAAUCAUCACAGUUUGCACAAGGAUAUUAAAUCACAACAUGUGCGACCUGUUUCUUUUCCGUUUUUUUCUUUCAGUGAUUAUUUUAAUUUUUUUUGGAAAAGUAAAUCAUCAGAGUUUACACAAGGACAUUAAAUCACAACAUAUGCGACCUGGUUCUUUUCCUUUUUUUCUUUCACUGACCAUUGGGCUCUCCACCUUUAAGUUAGAAAGAAAAGAAAUAGAGCCCGCGUUAUAGCUGUUUCAUGCACUCUGUUCCCGUUUGAGAAUAAAGCUCUCUCACCCUCCAAAAACAGAAUACUCCAUAUAUAUAGAAUACCCUUCUUUAUUUUUAAAGGCACAAAACACUAAUAAAUUCUCUAGCGAGUGGGCUAACUCUAUAUAUGAGCCCUAUGACCCUAUGACUCCAUAGAAUACAUACAUCUCCUUCCUGGUGCUAUAUAUGUAGGUCAUACGGGACUAACACGGCCUACAUUAACUAAAUGAAAACAGGCCAAAAACUAGCUCUGUCUAAUCCUAUUUUGAAUUCGGAUUGUUCUAAGUUUGGACCUAAGGCCCUGCAUCGGCCCUCACCCAGAAUAACGCUGUCCAUAUCGCGCUAGAUUAAUUCUGUGACGAUCCUUUAUAUAUAUAUAUAUUUUUAAUUUAUUUGAAGUUAUAAAAAUUUAAAGGAAAGGACCAAAUUACCUCUCAACAGUCAAAAAAAAAAAAAAAAAAAAAAAAAAGACAUUGCGCUAGCCCAUUGAGUAUUUUGGCCUUCAAGACAUACGAAAAGAUAUUUAUAUUUCCUUGGAAUCUUUUAAAUUCUUUUGUUCUAUUUUUAAUUUUCUUAUUAGUAAUAUAAAAUAUAUAAUUAUAUAUUUUAAAAUGUUUAAAUAAAUUUUCAAAUAAUUUUAAUAUAUUUAUAAAAAAUAUAUAAAGUAAAAAAAAUAGAAUUUAGGCUGUGUAGGCGCGGUAGGCACGACAUGUAUUACGUACGAAUCAUGACCGACCAGGCCAUGAAACCGGCUGGUCGGUCCUUGAGCGAGCCGGGCCGGAUGGGCGCCCAAACUAUCCGGCCUGCUUUACACCCGUACAUCAAUCCUACAAAAUAAUGUUAACAACCUAUUUUUCAAUUUUCAAAGCACCACGUUGGAUCCUACAACGAAUUGAAGCUCUCCGAAGAGCUUUUUUCUGGAAAGAGUGCUCCAAAAUUAGUAGAGAUGACUGCCUCGUCAACUGAAAAGCUGUCUGCAAAUGCAAGAGAGAAGAUGGAUUAGGGAUCAAAGAUAUGGAAUCCAUGAAUGUGGCGGUGCUAACCAAGUGGUGGUGGCGCUUCUUUACCGAGCCAAAUCUGCUUUAGCGCAAGUUGAUAAGUUUCCUUUACUAUGCCAGAAGAAGGCCGUUGCACGAGGGCACGUUGACAAAAAAUUGAAGUGAUAAGGUUAAUCUUAAAAUAAAAUGAAUGUAAGAUAUACACUUCAUUUUAAGAUGUAUUUGUAGUAUUAUUUUUUUGUCAAAACAGUUAACAAUAUAUCUCUGUAAAUAUUUUUUAAUUUAAAAAAAAGCAGUGUACAAAUUUUUAAAUUAUAGAAGGAGAAAGUAAAAAAAAAAAAGUCUUGACCCAAAAAUUUUCUAUUAUUUAGCUUUUUUGUAUUCAUGAUAAUUGUCAAACCUGACCAAAAAAAAAAAAAACUAAACAAUUAAGAGACCAACCCAUUUGUUCACUGUUCAUAGCCGAAACGGGAAAAGAAUGGAAAAUGCUCGAGUAAUAAAAAGAUUCUAGAUUAUUAAAUGGCAUCAUUACUCUGCUGACGAAAAAGGUACACAUAAUUAAGAGACCAACCUAUUUGUACAGAGCCAAAACGGGAAAAAUGUGCCCUUUGAGCCAAAAAUUCAUAAACGUAUUUAUAACGUAUAGGUCUCUAAUAAAAGCAAUCCGAACAAUGAUAUUGCUUUACACACACACUCACACACUCUCUCAUGGUAUUGAUGAUACCAUGUGCAAUGUGGGAGGUGGCAGCUCUCAUGGUAUUGACGAUACCAUGUGCAAUGUGGGAGGUGGCAGGGUAAAGAAGUAUGCUUGACGCCACAUGUACUUCUCCCCUAAUCUCGCACAUUUCCCACUUUACCCUCCACAUUUUUUUCUCUUGCGCCUUUUUCUCUCUCUAUCUCUAUCUCUCUAUUUAUAAUUUAAACUCCUGUGUAGGAGUGUGCCCCAUCCAGUGUGAGCUCCCCAAAUAUCAAAAAAGGUUAUACCCUUUUACAGCUCCCCAGGACCCCAACCCCUCUCUCUCUCUCUCUCUAUAAAUAAUACUCCACCUCUUGCUCAUUCACCAUAAGCACUAAUAAGGCCUCUCUCUCUCUCUCUCUCUCUCUGCUUUUACAGCUCCCCAGGACCCCAACCCCUCUCUCUCUCUCUCUCUCUCUGCAAAUAAUACUCCACCUCUUGCUCAUUCACCAUAAGCACUAAUAACGCCUCUCUCUCUCUCUCUCUAUAUAUAUAUAUAUAUAUAUAUAUAUAUAUAUAUAUACACCUGGAUCGAUCAAAUCACUGGUUUGUUGGUGUGUGUUAUGUAUGAAUGGAUCGAUCAAUCCAUACAUGGAUUAAUUGUAUUUCACAAAUGACUAUUAUUUUGCAUGUUGUAUACAUAUCACUGUAUAAUUUUUCUUUUCACAUCGUUGCUUCGGCCGGAGGUAUGUCGAGAAUGCCGAACCGUCACGGCAAACUGUAGUCCGUUGUAAGACCCGCUGCCGUUGUCGUAGGCCUCGUCGUAGGUUUCUUCGUCGUUAGUUUGUUUUAAAACUAUGUGGCUCUACAUCGACGACGACGAUCGUACGUCAUAGUGCUUGUCGUAAUCGUCGUAGUGUCUCGCGGUUAACCUCUCCCUUUGUCGCGUCAACUUGCAUAUAUAUUGAUCGAUCGAUCUAUACCUGGAUCGAUCAAGCCACUGUUUGUUGGUGUGUUGUUAUGUAUGAUAGAUCGAUCAUAGAGAUGCAUGGUUUUAAAACAAACUAACGACGAGGCGGCCUACGACAAGCCUACAACAGGGACAGCAGAUCUUACAACGGAGUACAGCUUGCCGUGACGGUUCGGCAUCCUCGACAUACCUCCGAAGCAGUGACGUGAUACCUCUCUCAUUGACUGGCUACUAUUAAGUAGCCAAAAUUCUUGGCGCUGCUACCAAUUUUUUAGCGCUUGAUUAAUUUUUUUACAUAUUUCUAACACAUUGGAUAAAUACUAUACACCAAGUGAGACACUCAACCUAGGGGACCACUCAACUAUAACCGACUAAUAUCAUCCUGACAUCUACACAAUUUUUCAUCCAGGGUUAAAAACUGAUGCAAAAAGAGCAAAUUUACUAUUAACUAGAUUCAGCCUAAUUAAAUAUAUAAUAUAUAUAUAUAUAUAUAUAUAUAAUAUAAUCAUACUUGAGCUAGGAUACUUUACAAGUAUCACCCUCAUGGCAUCAAUUUUUAGCCAUUGAUUUCUACUUCUUGAUACAUAAUAGUUCCUUGAUCAAACAACUAUUCCAUUUACUCACGACCAUACCACCAGUUCAUCUCAAUCACCUCGAUCAUUUCUCCAUCUAAGCGCAAAAUACUAAGACACGACCCCCAUGAUACUUGUAAAACGUAUCUUAGCUCCACUCAUAAUAUAUAUAUAUAUAUUAUAUAUAUAAUAUAUAUAUAUAUAAAUAUUAUACUAUAUAAUAUGGACACUCAGUUUUGUUUUAAAAUUUAUUUUUGUUUUUAAUUAUAAUUAAUAUAAUAUUUUAAUGAUAAAUUUAAAAUAUAUUAAAUAAUUAAAUUUCAAAUUUAAAAUUAUUUUGUAUACUAUUUUUAAAUAUCAUAAAAAUAAUAUCUAUUAUAUUAAAUUAAAAAUUAAAAUUUCAAAUAAAAAAUGGUCACACCGGUGCGUCGAAAAAACUCCUGCUCUCGCAAGUCAGACGCUAGCGGGACGGUGGCCCACGUGCUCGGGUGCCACGCGGCCCAUCAAGAUUCAAGACUAUCCUAAAAAAAAAAAAAAAGAAAAAAAAGAGAAGACAUCGUGUCCAUAAAAUUUUUGCCCUAUAAAAAACCUCAUUGAUAUAGCAUUGGACCGGUCGGAAGUUUAAUUGGGUGUUUACUUUAUAAGAACCGAUUCGCCUUUUAUGGGCUUACUUCUUUUAGAAGCCGUACCUUAUAAGCACGUCCUAUCCUACAUAGAAACCACAUGGUGUCUGAAUGCUAUGGCAAUAUAUUGUUUAAAUAAAAAACCUCACAACAAUAUCGCUCCAAUUCUUACGUACAGUUGUAUUCGGAUUCCGUGGUUUAGAUAUAAAUAAAAACAUAAUUUAUUCUAGAGAUAUUACAAUUAAGAUAUAAAUAAGAAGAAAAAUUAAUUUUGAUUGGUAUAACUGAAUAAUUUUUGAAAUAAAAAAAAAAUAAAUUUGGAUGAAAAUUUGAAUUAUUUUUAAAAAUAAAAAAAUAAUAUUUAGAUAAAUAAAUAAAUAAGAAAAAUACAAGCUUGUUAUAAAAUAAAAAUAUAUAAAUUACUUCUCUAUUAAAAUUAAAAUUUAAUUUUUUUUAAAUUAAAUAUUCAAAUUUAAAAUAUAAAAUUAAAAUCUCACAAUUAUAAAUUUUAAAAUUCAAAAAAAUUAAUUUAAAAUUUAAAAAUAAUAAAAUUUCAAAUUUUAAAUUUAAUAAUUUUAAAUCCUAAACAUAAAAUUUUAAAAAUUAAAAAAUUUAAAUUUUAAUUUAAAAUAAAAGUAUAAAUUUUUUAAAUAAUUAAGAAUUCUCAACUCUCAAGCUUGUUUUCUCGAAGAAGCUGCAUUUCCACAUGAUACAACUAUUGUUCCCCAAAAAAGUGUGUUAAAUAUAAAUAAAAAAAAAAUUAUCCUCUGUGUAUUCCAACAAAACACACCUAGAACCCGUUCCUUUAUAACGGCACAAUUUUUUAAUCAAUAUAGAACUUUUUGGUCUUACAUGUGCGGUUUUCGUUUUCGCUCUGUAUUGCAACACGCUUUAUCUCGUAAAUCUUUGGAACGCGCAAGAAUGAUGCAUUAUGAACUUUAGUCAUCAACGCACACAAUCAACACAUACACAUGUAGCUAGCUAAAGUAAUGUGACCUAGCUAUUUUAAGGUGCUACUGAUUGAAAAAUGUACAUUACAUAUAACCAACAACGAAAAAAAAAAAAGUGCAAUUUGGGAAGAAAAAUAAUAAGGCAAUGAUUGCUCGUAGAUUAUUAUGUAUAUUGUUUAUGACAAUAUUUUAAUGUAAUAUCCUUAAAUUAUAUAAAAUAAAAAGUAAUUAUUAAGUGGAGCAAACCAGUUACUCUGAGCAUUAAAUCAUCCAGCAUUGCAACCAAUUUCAGUUACUAAUGAACCAUUAAAUCAAUUACACGUAAAUAACUCUAGUUCUGAACGUAAAUCAUCACAUUUACAACUGUGUUUUUCUUUUGUCUUUCCACACAGUAACCAUAAUUCUCCACCUAUACGCUGCUUCAUUUACUCGUUUUCAUCCAUUCUUUCCGCAUUGGAAUAAACUUUACUCCCCCAAAAAAAUACUCGCAAUAGAUAGAAGCUUACAAAGUCCUCUAAUAAAUUCUAUCUCCAAUCCACUACUAACAAUAUAUGCGCUAGUGACAAUAAAAUAUUCCUAGUUAGUGACCCAACUCGAACCUUAAGCCCUGCAAAAUAGUACAUCUUCUAACUUUCUAAACUUAAGGAGAAUUCAAUAGUCACUGAAAGAAGAAAGGAAAAGAAAACCAGAUUACACGUUGUGAUAAUUUCCGAGAGUAACGGCAACCUGGAAUAUUAUUAAAANNNNNNNNNNNNNNNNNNNNNNNNNCACUCUCUAUAUAUAUAUAUAUAUAUAUAUAUAUAUAUAUAUAUAUAUAUAUAUAUAUUAUAAUUUAAAAGUAAAAAAAUUAAAACAAAAAAAUAGUGCACCAUGUGCACCCAAAAAACUCCCCGUGCUCCCUCGUGCCACGCCGCGCCUAUAGGGGACAUCCCCAAAUUGGUUUUAUGGACACAGUGUCCAUAAAAGUUUUGCCCGUUUUAUAGCAUGGGGUCUUAUAUGGCAUUGAUUAUAGCCUGAGGUCGCAUAUGGCAUUGAUUAUAGCAUGAGCCCGUUUUACAUCCUAUGGCACUGAUUAUCCUAUGUCAUGGAUUAUAGCAUGUGGGAGGCGGAUAGCAUGAGGUCGUAUAUGGCAUUGAUUAUAGCAUGAGUUCCUUUUAUAGCAUGAGGUCGUUUUACAUCCUAUGACAUUGAUUAUCCUAUGGCAUUGAUUAUAGCAUGUGGGAGGUGGUCGGAACUCGGAAGCUUGGCAUUGAUUAUGGCAUGUGGAGGCGGUCGGAAGCUUUAAUUGGCUGCUACUAUUUUAAACCGAUUUGCCUUUUAUGGGCGGUUACAUCUUUAGAGCUGCUUACUUUAUAUAAGCACGUUCCAUCCCACAUAGUACCACAUGGUGUCAUAAAUGCUAUGUAUUUGUGUAAAUAAAAGGAAUCUCACAAGCAUAUUAGUCCGAUUCUUACGUACAGUUGCAUUCGGAUUCGUUUGGUUGGGAUAUAAAUAAAAAUGAUUUAUUCUAAAAAUAUAUACAAGUUAAAAUAUAAGUAAGAAUUAAAUUAAUUUUGAGUUUGUAUAAAAACUAAAUUAUUUUCAAAAGUAAGAAAAAUAAAUUUCGGAUAAAAAUUUGAAUUAUUCUCGAAAAUAAGAAAAAUAACAUUUAAAUAAAUAAGAUAGAAUAAGAAAAAUAACAAACUUUUAUAAAUAAAAAUGAUGAUAUUACUUCUCUUAUUAAAUUUGAAUUUUUAAAUUUUAUUUUUUAAAUUUAAAAUAUAAAAUUUAAAAUCUCAAAUUAUAAAUUUUAAAAUUCAAAAAAUUAAUUUAAAAUUUAAAAAUUAUAAAAUUUCAAAUUUUAAAUUUGAAAAUUUUAAAAUCUAAAAUUUAAUUUAAAAUUUAAAAUUUAUAAAAUUAUAAAUUUUAAUUUUAAAAUUAAAACUAUAAAUUUUUUAAUAAAUUAAAAAUUCUCACUCUCAAGCUUGUUUCUCGAAGAAGCUUAUUCCACCAUGAGUUGACAACUAUUGUUCCCCAAAAAAAGUGUGUUUAGAUAUUAAAUAAAAAAAAAUUAUUCCUCUGUGUAUUCCAAUCAAACACUACCUUAGAACCCGUUACUUUUACUGGCACAUUUUUUAAUCAAAUAUGAACUUUUGGUCUUACAUGUGCGGUUUUUCGUUUUCGCUCUGUAUUGCACACGUUUAUCUGUACCUCUUUGGAAAGCACAAGAAUGAUGCCAUUACUUAAGCAUUUCCCAUCUUAUAAUUUAAAAUAAACCAGUUAACAUUUAACAAUCAUCACGAAUACAAAAAAGCAACACUUUUCUCACAAUUUCGAAGGAACACGUCGCCGCUUCUGUGUCCGCUAUAUUCUAUGUCUAUAUUUUUCAAAUUUCUAAUUAUCCCACAUAACUCAUUAAACACAAACAUAUGAAAAAAAAAAAAAGAAAAGGAAAAGAACCUAAUUAAUAAUAAAGAUACAUAAAAAAAUAAAAGAAAACAAAACAAAGAAAGGUACAAGACAAUCAGCAAAAAUUAUUAUACGGAGUUUUCCUAACAUCAGAGGAGGUCCGACCAACUGGGCAGUGGAGUAACACUCGACUUCUACUCAGUUUUUGAACCAGUUCUUUAUUUGGUGGGUGGACCUCAUUCACAAACUGGAAUAGAAUGGAUAAAAUCUGGUAAUUGACGGAGCAAGUAGAGAUGUCAACGUGUCGGAUUCGGAACGGAUUUUUGAAAACCUGAAUCCGAACCCGAAUCCGAACCCGAUGGAUUUUAAAAAUCCAUAUCCAAACCCGAAUCCGACCAAAAAUUCGAAACCCGAACCCGAACCCGAACCCGAACCCGAACCUAAAAAUUUGAACCCGAAAUAAUUAUUUCUUUUUUCAAUAUUUCAAAAUAUAUUAUAUUAAAUCUAAAUUUUUAAAAUAUAAAUUCAAAUAUAACAUCAAAUUUUUAUGUAUAUAUUAUAUAUAAUACAAAAUAAAUUUGGAUUCGGAUUCGGGUCGGGUACAAUCAAAAUUCAUAUUCGAAUUCAUAUCCGUCGGAUUUCUAUUUUUGAUAUCCAUAUCCGAAUCAUAUUCAUAUCCAUCGGAUAUAUCCGUUUCAUUUUCGCGUUCGAAUUCGGAUAAAUUCGGGUAUUAUAUCCAUUGACAUCCUAGCAGCAACAAGUAUGGAAGGCUAUUCAAUUUUUUAUAACUAAGGUAGAGAGCCCUAUAUUUGUUUGCUUUUAAUCGAUCUAUGAUCAAGAUUAAUUUUCAUUUGAUCAUACAAGUCACUUUUGUAAUAGGUUUAAUUUGGUUUUUAUUUUAUAUAUUUUUUUUAAAAUAGUUAGGAAGUGUGAGGGUUGAUUAAUUAAUGAAAAAAAAGAUAAAAAAAAAACAUGUUGAAUAUGUGAUUGAUUUAACGUCCCAUAGAAGGAGUUUACUACACUUAAUAAUUAUUUUAUUAUUUUUUAUCACACUGUAAGGAACUUAAAUUAACAGAUUGUAAAAACAACACAAAGUCCACAAAUCAACUAAAAAUACACUAUAAUAAGAUUUAAAAAUUUAAAUUUUUAAUAAUUUGAAAAAAUUACACUUCCUUACGUCUUAAAUAUGAUGGCGGUGAGCACAUGUUUAAUCAAGAAACAAAUAACUCAGUAAAAAUGAUUUCUCUCUCAGUUGGCGCUUGAUGAUCUGACAAUAUUGUUCCUGGUAGUGCUGCUAGCGCAGCAAGUACAUCUGUAGGCUACCUUGAUUGUGCUAUGCAUGCUGUGCGGGAUGCUGCCUCGUCGCCCGUAAUGCUGCAGCACGUCCAACGCACUGCCGAGCCGUAGGAGCUGCCAAGACAAUAGGAGGCCUUCGUCGCUGCAUUAUUUUCCUGUUUUUUUUUUUUAAUAUGUCGCUAUAUAUGUGAUGUAUGUUUCAAUAUCAGUAGUUACUUUAUACUAGUUGGGUACAUACCUAACUAGCUAGAUAAGCAUAUACUGUUGUGUGCUGUUGUGUGGAUGUUUGGUCACUAAACUAGCUAGGUCCACAUCUAGCUAGCUAUAGAUAUAUAUAUAUAUAUAUAUAUAUAUAUAUAUAUAUAUAAAAUUUCGUGUUGUUCUAUGGUUAAUUUUAUGAAACUGAGUAUUAGCAGUAGUGAUAAUUCUGUUAUUUGCAAGUAAACAAAAAUAAUUUCUAGAUAAUUUUUAUUUUUAUUUUUGUUGCCCUGAUUGAUACACAUCCUCAACUUUGCCACGUUCUACUGCACUGUUUCCCUUCUCUUCCAGCUGAAGUAGUGCAACACAGCAAAUUUCACUUGUUUACUAAGGUACUGAAAUGAAUGAAAAUUUGACCGUUUAAAUGAUAAUUGAUACUUUUUAAUUAACUCACAGAUACGAAACAAAAGUGAAAAAAAAAAAAUUUGAGGAUAAGCAGGAAGAGGAUGAUGCCAGAGCUCGAGUUAAACUACUAUAUAUGCAAAGAUAAUCACAAAGGAGCAAAUCCUCAGGAUAAGAAACAAGCCCGAAGGAUCAUCAAUUCACCGCUAAAUACAUGCCGAUUCCCCUAAAAUAGUCAAUUAUUAUCAGCAAAUUAUUAUUAGCAAAAAUAUGAGUUUUACAUCAGAUGAUACAACCAGGUAGUUUAGUUUUGCAACCAAUUCACCAAUACCACCAGAAAAAAAAAAGAGAAAAAAAAAAGAAGGGAAAGAUUAUGCCCUAAUCCACUUUUCCGAUCCCACCCAAAUCCCCAAAUCGGAACCGUGGAAUGCCAAAAAUCGUCACCUAUUUUUGCAAGAGGAGGAGAGAAGGAAGAAGAAGAAGAAUAAGAAGAAAAAGAAGAAGAAUAAGGGAGGGGGGGAUAGAGGAGGUGGCAGUCACAGGACCUGGCGAUCGGCGGCGUUGGCGACGAGGGGCAACCUGGGAAAUUGGCCGAGGAGGCAGGCGGUGGAGCCGUAGACGAGGGAGACGAGCAAGAAGAAGCAGAAGACGCUGCUGUCGGCGCUUUGCAGGAUCUCGUAGCUGACGCCGUCGCUGGGGGCGAAGGACCGCUGGAGGAGGUCGGGGAAGAUGAGGAGGACGUCGAGGACGAUGGCCUGCAUCGUGUUGAACCGCACGUAGCGGCUGCAGCGGGAGGGGUUUGUAACAACCCUGAAGAAUAAAUGGCAGAAGUAGUAGUAGUAGUUUAAUAGUAAGCAGGGGAAGGAAGUAAAAAUGUCAACUUUACAAUAGCAGGAGCAGCAAUGAUGGCCGCAGCAAGUGAGGAAGAGCGCGCUCGACGGAGCAGACUCGCGAGCGCGUGGAGCUUGAGCUCUGGGUGCGUCUCGUGGAGCAUCACCAGGAGCCGCUCGCAGAGCUCACCACCGCCAUCUCCGCCUUCCUCCGGAGCCGUGAGGCGGCAGCAGCAAGUUGAGGAAUGCGGAGCUUGACGGAGCAGCCUGGCGAGAAGAGGUCCGGGCGGAGCACUGUAGAGGCGACGGUACUAGGGCACCCUCAGAGCUCGGAGAGGGCGAUGGGAGGAUUGAGAAGGGAGAAAGGGGGAGUCCGACAGAGUCUUAGGAGAUUGGGGAGGGCGAAGAAGAGAACCUGCGGGUCGAAGCUUCCGGAUCGCGGAUCGGGCGGAAAAGGCGAGCCCAAGACCCGGCGGGCGCUGGAUAGUGCGGCGAAGAAGGAACCGAGACCCACUUAUCCGUUAAUACAUUUCUGGACCCCGUGCAGCCCAUCCGAGGCCCACAAACCAUCUGAAUUCCACCCAGAAGGCCCGCAGUUCUUUUUUUUACAAUUUUGUUGUUAAGCACAGUAGGAUAGUUUAAUUACAUUUCGGUACAAGUUGUAUAGAGUAUAUAUAGUUAACAGGUUGUAAUUGCAAGGUAUGAAGAAAAAUGAAUUAGCCUAUUUCUCCCCCAAAAGUUCUUCUCCAAACCCUUCUUCUUCUCUAUCCCUUAUCUCUAUCCCAACUCUUUUCCCUAACCCUCACCUCUCAAUUCUCAUCUCUGUCUAUCUCUCUACCUCUAUUUCUCUUCUCUCUAUCUCAAUCCCAAUUUCUAUCUCUAUUUCCUUACCUCUCUAGCCUCGGUUACCGAUUACGUUACCUCGGAUCCGCGACCGGAAGCACCAAGAACCUGAUCCGAACCAUAAGGGAUAUUACAGGGUUGCGCACCACCGCGAAGUAGAGCGUGAGGAAGAGGAGGAAGCGGGUGAUCGGGGAGGAGCGGAAGAGCUGGAUCACGGGGACGAGGGGCUAGAUUAGGGUUUGGAGGAAGGGAGUUGCGUAAGGACGAAGCGGCCGAGGAGGAAGGGGGUGACCGCGAUUGUAUAAUACCUAGUUAGUCGACUUGCAAAUACUGAAGGCCGAAAAUAAGUUACUAUUGCUAAUACAUUACAUUUUCAAAACAUUAGCCAUGUAACGACAACACAAACACAUACAUUGAUAUCUAGCUAAGCGUUGGCCUAGCUAGUUUAGUCAUCAAAUAAUGGCACAAAAAUACAUAGGUACCUAACUAUUUUAGUCCUUAAACAACAACACAACAACAACACAACAACAAUACAUAGUUACUGAUAAUGAAAACGAGAAUGUUCUCCCAGCAAGAAAGAAGCCCUACAAAGCUCUUAUGGCUUUGCAAUGGUAUUGAUGCAGCACAUCGGGAUUGAGGGACAGCAUGAGGGAUUAGGAGGAGGAUUAGAAAACACAGUUGUUGUUGUUGUCGUCGCCACCCUAGCAGCAGCAGCAAAAACAUUACCAGGUGCUGCAUUACGACGGAGCGCGGGCUACAGGAGUAACUUAUUUAUUUUGUUAUCUUAAAUUAACAACACUAGGAAAUUUUUUUUUUUAAAAAAAAAGAGAUAGAUAGUAUGCUACCUAUUUUAUUUUGUUAUCUUAGCUGAAAAUGUGAAUCAACUAGCUCGGAUUCUAACUUGGGAGCUCGGAUACUAACCAUCAAACUCUUUGCCACUUACUCUAGAAACCGUCGGUAACAUUAGGAAGAAGUUGAUUUGUUUUUCGUGUUAAGGUCCAAAACACUACAAGAGAAGUUUUUGAAAUAUCCAUAUUCACGUUUCCCCUAACGUGGUAUUUAUAGAGGGAGCAUAACUUCACAAUUUUUUAACUUUUCUUUUAUGUGCAUUUUAAAUUAAUUCAUGAAUUUUACAUGUUGCUUCAGAUAUGCUAUUAUUGUAAAUUCCUUAUCAUACGACAAAACAUAAAAAGUUAUCAAGCAUCAGAGAACUCCAGUUAAGCCUCUGGAUUAUCAAAUGUCGCAUAUGCAAUAAGUUGAAUUAUUUUGGGACAUUAAAUGAUUGCAGGCUGCACAAUUACUCUUGGACAUUAAUUGUCCAUGUGCAAUCUGUUCUUUUGCCUUUUUGUCCGUCAGUAGUCUUUUGGGCUCUCUGCCUCAAAGAUGGAAAAUAUGUAAAGCCUGCCUUAUAGCUGUUGCAUGAUUUAUCCAAUUUCAUCCACUCUUUCAGUUUGGGAACGAGCUCUCUCACCCUCUAUAUAUAUAGAAGACUCUUCUUCUCUUAUUUUCAAGUUGCGAGUCCUUUAAUAAAUUCUCUACUCUCCAACAAUCACCUAACAAUAUUAAUGCCAAUAUAACAUAAGAUGGCCACUAGAUAUUCUAGCGGGCUGAAUCUGUAUGUGAGCUCCAAUGACACAGUAAAAUACGUAUAUCUACUGGCGCUAUGAGGGCCGCGUCGUACUAGCACGGCCCACAUUAACUGAGCUGAAACAAGAUAAGAACCAGUUCAGCCUGAUCCAAUUUUGAAUUCGGAUUGUCAUAAGCAAGUCCAAUUUUUUUUUGGACGUACAUCCCUGUAUGUUCCCCUGGCAACAACAACACCGUGCAUAUCCUUUAAAUUAAUAAAUCUGUGCCGACCCAUUAUGUUUUUUUUUUUUAAAUUUUUAAUUUGUUUAGAAUUAUAAAAAUUUUAAAGGAAAGGACCAGAUUAUCUCUCAACAAUCAAAAAUUGGUCUUCAAAAUAUAUAUAAAGGAAUUUAUAUUUCUUUGGAAACUUUUAAAUUCUUUUGUUCUAUUUUUAAUUUUCUUAUUAGUAUUAUAAAAUAUAUUGUUAUAUAAUUUUCAAUAAGUUUAUUAUAUUUAUAAAAAUAUAUAAAGUAAAAAUAAAAAAAAGGGUCAGUCUGUGCCUGUGUCGGCACAGAAUGCGUGUCUUAUAUUACAUACGGAUCGUGACCGGCCCAAUCAUGUUAACCAAUUAAUUUACACCUAAUCCUAUGAAAUAAUAUUUCUUUUUCAAAAAAAAUAACAUGCUACCUAUUUAGCAUGUUAUAUAUAUUUUUUUAAAAAAAUAAAUUUAGUUAAAAAUAUGAAUUAAUUAGGAUUCAAAUUAAAGACCCCGAAUACCAAACACAAGCCCUCUGCUACUUGCGCAGGGGCGAUCAGGACGAUCAGUUCCUAUGAAAUAAUGUUAACGAGUUGUUUUCUGGAUGCUGAGUUUUGAAACAAUUUAAUAUAUCAAUUCAUUUUAAUAAAAGUUUUCAACUUAAUUCACAAAUUAUUGUAGGUUUCUAGAGUAACGUUCAAGCCUAAAAUCUAGCACUAGAGACGUUUUCUUAGCGUGGACUAAUUAAUGACUUUUUAUUUUUGGGUGUUUUCUGUGGGAGUGUUUGUAGAGGUGUAAUGUGGGCCGUGUCAGGCUGACACGGCUACAUUUUUCGGACCAAAAUCGGCUAAAUUUUUUGGUUCAUUGGACCUAAAGCCCUCCUCCCCAAGGUCUGCCAAAAGAAAUAAGAAUCCCCACUGGAGAUUAGAUUUUGCUUGGGAGGAGAGCACCUGGAGAGGAUGGCCAAGCCCUCAUCCCCAGCAGCUCAAACUCGAUGGCCCAAUGCCAUUUGCUUUGGACCAUGGGUGUGGACCGGGCUGGCCAGGCUGGCACAAUCCAAACGGACCGUGUCGUGCCGAGCCGCUCACCUCUCCUCUGCCUGGCAUAGCCCAGGCCCGUUUCGGGCUGUGCCGUGCCGGCCGGGUUUGGGACGUGCCGGGCUCUCGAGCUUCAAAGAGGUGGCCGUCCAACAUGCCCAGAGCCUCGGGCCAAGCCGGUCCGAUACAGGUAAUAUGGUACUCGUGCCUUGCUGUAGACCUGACCGAGGCCGUGCAGGGCAAGACGACCCACGUGCCGCCCAGCCCGUUUUACAUCCCAAAGUGUUUGGAAAGCAAAAUAAAUUGACAGAAACUUAAUUUUUUAAACAAACUUUUUAUCAAAUCCCAUCAUGCACGUACCCAUAUUUUUCUAUUUGCAUCAAUAAUUUUUUUUUUCUUCUUUAACAAAUUCUCACACAUCUAACUAUUUAAGAACAAAUUAUUAAAAACUUUCUAAUGUAUAAAAAUGAAAAUCUCAAUUAGACAUUAAGUUCAAAAGUGAAUUUGUAUGAUCAAAUAACAGAGAAUCUUGACCUUUUGAUUUAAAAAGUAAUUAAGUUGUUGAUAUUUCAGGCUUGAAUUUUAAAACAACAUGAAUGGUAGAUUAUACAAUCUCACAAUGAGGACGAUCAUAUACAUUCUCAUAUAAAUCAAGCCGAAGGAGAAGAUUAGUUGUUUGGAUUAGUUCACAGAAUUUUGAGCGUAAAAUAUAAUAUAAUCCGCGCGGCAAAUCUUAAUGGUGAAGGGGGCAACCUUUAGCUUCAAUUCCUGGAGCUGUGGGACAAUGAGCUAAGGGGCAAUGAUCACUCACAGCUUGCCCCCACCAGCCGAUCCCGUUGAUGCCAUUGAACUGGAAAAUACUCCCCAGCAAGGCCAUUAAUGCGACGCCGCAGGUGAGCGCGUUCGACAACACGUAGUUGUAUCUACUCCACCACACUUUCCACUUCCUAUACACCACAUAGUUGAAGAAAAACGCGACGAUAAACCAUGACCAGUAGUUCACAGGCUUCGCGUACGGCAUCUGCGUGGACGCUGCAAAAAUCAGCGGAACAUUGACUUGCCUGAUCCAUUCUUCUUUAGGAAAUAAGCGCGAGAUGAUCCAAACCAAGACCGUCGCGAAGGCACCAUAGAGGAAGUAGUAGUAGAGGCUUGAGUAAACGCUUAGGGAUCCGAAGAUGCGUGCCGGCCCAAUCACAGCCCAAAUGUUGAUGCGGCUGUUGGUUAGUGUUUGGCUCGGGCACGUCCAGGGGCUCCCCGCUGGAAGCUUAUCGAGGUCACAAAUGCCAUGGACUGUUGAAAGGAGCCACCACGCUGUCGCAAAGUCUACUGAGCAUGCGAUCACCGUGCCGACAAUCUGCAUGAGAGAUUGCCACAUAUUACCGUGAAACUAAGGAUCGCAAAUUAAAGUUGAAGCUGUUCGAUUAUGGACAUGCAUGUCUUAUUUCGAAUGUGUUUGGUGAAGUGAAAUAUCACUGCCCCCAAAUACCCAAAUAACCAAAUGAUACUUUAAAAACAUAUAGGAAUUACCUGGACGAUGAACAUUGACCUCGGAGGGAUCUUCAUGUAGUGGCCAAACUUGAAAGAUUUUAGGAAAUUUAGCGCAAGUCCCAUGCAACUCGUAGCAUAGGAUUUGAAUGCAAAUGCUGCCAGGGGCUUUCCAGGAUACAAGUACCCACUAAUCAUUUCUGAAAUAAUAGCUAGAUCUAGACCCUGCAAGAGAGAUAUCUAAUUCGUAAUUUGUUUAGGUAUACACGCUCAUUAAAUAGUAAUGCUUUAUAUUAUUAUUUACCUAUCUUGUUUUCUUUUAUUUGCAUAAAAAAGAGACAAAUGAAACAUGACAUAAAUCACAUACGCACCAGUACACUUUAAGUAAUUGCAAAGUAUGGAGAGAAACUAUAGUACUAAACCAGAUUAUCGAGGAAUUAUUGUAGUUACAUGGAUGAAUGGGAUGCUUCAAUCAGGUUUAAUUAAUUCUGACUAUUAAAUGCACUUUCAAUACCCACAGUGUACUCUUUUUUUUUUUGGAAAAAUUUCCUCAAUACCCUUCUAAAAUUAUCUAAUUUCAUAAAUACCCAUAUAAAAAUUGAAAUAUCAUGUAUACCCUCCUAAAUUUAAAAAACUUUCAAAAAUAACCCUACCAUUAAGUGCCCAUCCAAAUUGAAGUUAAUAAUAUUUAAAUUCCAACUUUACCCCUCUUAUAUUUAAUGGUCAAUUACUUACUUUAUUUCCUAAAUACCCCUGUUAUAUUUGAAAUUUAACUAAACUCUAUCUAGACUAAAGAUUUAGUAAAAUUUGAUUGAUUUAGUUUAGAAAAAUUAUUCAUUUCAAUUAGAAAUAAAUAUUUCUAUUUCAAAUAAAUUGUAGUUAAAUUAAAUUUUAUUUUGCUUCAUUGUUAAAAUGAGAAGAUAAUUCAUUUUAGUUAUAUUUUCUUUUACUAUAACGAUUGUAAAAUAAUAAAAAAUUUUAAUUUGACUACUUAAAGUAGAGAAAGUUUGUGGUUGUGAAUACACAUUAUAACUGAGAGCAAUACAUUAGUAUAAAAUUCGACCCCAGAUAAAAAAUUAGUUUUAUUAUGAAAAGACUUACUAAAUUUUUAUAAUCAAUGGACAUUAUAUGAACCAAUAAUAGUUUGAAAUAACAAAUUGAAAACAUGAAAUUUUAAUUAAUAAAAAUUUCACAAAGUAAGAUAAUUAUUCCAUCAAAUUUUAAUACCUUUAACUAAUUUUCAUUUGAAAAUAGCAAAAUUCAUUUAAUAGCUAAUUAACUGAUUAAUUGAAUUUCUAUAUUUAAUUGAUUAAAAUAUUUGAAAUCAAAAUAAACAAAAUUUGAAUGGAUAAAAAUUUAAAAAAAGAAAUGGGUUAGCAUACAUUUAUGUACCCCUCACCAAUUUUCAAUAUUUAGGGAUAAAAUAGACAAUUUUAUUCUUAACCUUCAUUAUACUAUAAUGUAACUAAAAUUAAAACGAUCCCAACUAAUGAUAGUAUAUUUUGGAUUUUUUUAAAACAAAUUAAAUAUUCAUAGGGUUAAUUUUGAUAUUUCAAAUUGUUAGGAACAUUUAUUAUAAUCUUAAACUUGUCAAGGGUAUGAAUGAAAUUGUCCCUCUAAAGAAAUAGUGAACAAAGAGUAAAAUGAUAAUUUUAUAUUUUAAAGCAAAGUAAAAAAAUGUUGAGUUAACGGAAGUCAGCAAAAUAGUAACGGUAAGGGCAUUUAUGAAAGAAAUAUUGUAUUUAGAGGGUAUUUGUGAAAAUUUAAAAAUUUGAAGGGUAUUUAUGAUAUCUCAUAGUUUUGUGAGGGUAGAAAUGAAAUUAACCCUUUUCUUUUUGUGUGUGUGAUCCAAUCAUCAUGUCAUAUUAAUUAAUUCUACGAGAUCUUAAACUCACCCUGCUUGUUGUAGCCUCGAGAACACCAAAAGGUAGGAGGAGAAUAAAAGCCAUGGCGCAUGCCAGCAGGACCCCCACAAAAGGAAGUUGGAAUUGUUUGUCGAAUCCUUCAACUGUUAGUAUUGAUAAACCAAGCAUCAUUAACAGUAGCACGAUAAACCACGAUUGCGGGAUGGACUUGUAGUUGUUCUUCAUCAAUCGAGUGUGAAUGUCAUCCGGUCUACUUGAACUGGAACUUGCUUGUUUGUACUGUCGCCAUAUCGACCUGCAACGACACAGAAUUCGCAUCGAAGGCAUAACUUGUGACUGCAGGAGUCGUCAUUUACCCCAUAUACAGCUCGCAAAUAUAAAGCAUGCAGAUAAACACUUUUACCAUCCACUUUGGACAAGAUAUAUACAUAUAGGCUAUUAUAUAGGCUGGGACUACCAUACUCUUAUGAGUAUAGACCCCCUUAUACUCAUAAAUUUUUAACCGUUGAUUGAUGGAAUGUGUGGCUAGGAUGAUGGUGAUCCCCCCACUUUUAAUGAUAGUGGUCCUCUAGGGUUGAGUGGGUAGUUGGUUGAAUAGUAUGAUUUAACGGGUGGAAAUGAUCAAUAAAAUAAAUCUAAAGGCCAAAAACUUAUGAGUAUAAGAAAACCAAUACUCAUAAAAGUAUAGUAGCCGGAUUCCUAUUAUAUUAUUAAUAGUACUAAAUACUUGGUACUAUUAGAUUUUCGGUCCUUGGGUGAUUGAUUAAGUAGUAUGAUCUAACGGAUAAAAAUAAUCAAAAUGAUAGAUCUAACGAUAUAAAACUCAAUAACACCGAGUACUGGCUAAUAACAAUAGUAUACUAGCCGGACUAUAUAUAUAUAUAUAUAUAUAUAUAUAUAUAUAUAUAUAUAUUGAGCUCCUAUGCUUUUAAAAGUAUUAAGUUAUUGAUGCUUAUAAGUUUUUAGCCCUUGGAUUAAUAGAUGUGUGGUUAGGAUGAUAUGGGUCCCCAUGGGUUGAGUGGGUGGUUGGUUGAAUAGUAUAAUCUAACGGAUGAAAAUGAUCAAAGGCAUAGAUCUAACAGUAAAAAAUUCACAAGCACCAAGUGCUUGCUGCUUUUGCAAGCAUCAUAACCGGACUAAUAUAUAUAUAUAUAUAUAUAUGGCUAGGCUCCUAUGCUUUCGAAAGUACGGGAACCUCCGUACUUGUAAGUUGUUUUCAAUAAUGGGACAUCCGAUUUGGCGAUCGGUUCCGUUAGAUAUGAUCUACGCUGUUGGAACUAUCUAGAAACCAAAUUUUAUAAUUUUUUGAUUUCGUUUGUCUAGUAAAUGAGUAGCCUCAAAAUGAACGGCUGAAAAUGAAAAUCUCACAAAAAAUAGUGAUAAAGGAUAGAAAUUUCAAACCGGAAGUAUUGGUCUUACUAUUAAUGUUAAGUAGAAUUUUCUAUUAAAUUUUCAUCUAAUUUGGAUACUUCUACACCGUUGAACUUAAAAACGUGUCACAUCGGCCAUUAAAAUAGUCAUUUUUGAGACAUUUUUAUCGCUUGGUAAAUGAUAUCAAAAAAUUAUAAAAUUUAGUUUCUAAAUAGUUCCAAUAGGGUAAAUUAUACUUAACGGAGCCGAUCGUCGAAUCGGAUUUUCUAUCAUCGAAAACAACAUACAAGCACGGAGGCCUCCGUAUUUUCGAAAGUACAAGAGACUUACUAUAUAUAUAUGCUUAUAUUAUAAUACUAUAACUAUAAUAUAGGUUGGGCUGCUGUGCUCUUAAAAGCACGCAGCCCUGUGCUCCGUCCAAAGCAUCAGCCAUCCAUUAAACAGAUCGGAUGCUGAGAUUCGGAGGAGCUUUAAGGCUAACCCAGUUAGGAUGGUGUGCAACAACCCAUAUCUUUCUCUCUCCUCAUUUUUGUUUUUGUCUUUUCUUUUUUUUUUUCUUUUCUUCGCUUUUUCUCCUCAUCCUCGACGGGGAAGGGCACGCGACGGGAGGGGGGGGGCUGGGGGAGUGCUACAGAGUGGGGUGGUCGCGGGAGCAGAGGAAGGUCGUGGCCGGGCGGAGGGGGGCGUCGCCCGCGCGGCGACGGGGUCGCCCGAGGGAAGGUCGGGGCGGCGGGGAGGGGGUCGCCGAGGGAGGCGUCGCGCGGUGGGUCCGCGCGCGCGGUUGGGCGCGUGCGGCGCCGCGCGCCACUGCUGGUAUUGAAGGAGGGAGGUGCUGUACCACUUCUGCGUGCGCCUCAAAGGUCUGAGCGCUCCGCGAUUCCAACAUGAUGUGGGAGAGGAAGGAGAAGAUUGGGGAAAGAGAGGGAUGAAGCAUGUUUCUUGGAGGCAGAUGGAGUUCAGCGAACCUAGCGAAGAAGACAGCAGAAAAGGAAUGAGCAGAAAAAAGAACAGAAAACAGACAAAAAAGCAGCACAAAAACCGAGAAGACGCAGACAAAUACGACGCGGCUUGCGUUAACCAUCUAACUGGGGUUAACCUUCUUAAACUCCUCCAAUCUCUCCACCAUCCAUCAUUUAGACUGAUGGCUGAUGCUUUAGGAGCACAAGGCUGCUUGCUCUUACAGAGCCACCAGCAACCCCACAACUCUAUAUAUAUAUAUAUAUACUAUAUAUAUUCAAUAUAUACAUAAUAGCAUCCGGCUACUAUACUAUAUAAGUAAUUGAUGCUCUCGUACUCAUAAAUCGUUUUCGAUGAAUAAGCUUCCGAAAUCGAACCAUGCCAUCACCGUUCAAACAAUUAUUUACAGCACACAACUUUUGAAAUCAAAUUUGAUAUUUCUUCAGACAUCAUUUACCUUACAAUCAAGAGGGUCCACAAAUUGAUAAUUUUUAAUGUGCCGGUAAUGGGAUACUUGCUAGUUUAACGGUGUAAAUAACAUCGAAAUUUGUUGAAUUUUUGAUAAAAAAAUCUAUUCCACACCGUACCGAUACAAGAUAAAUAAGCUUCCCGACUCUCAGAAUUGAAGGAUCUAUGCAUCCCUUUUUUAAGACGUCGUUCGAUUUUGAUCAUUCCAAGUUUAUGCCGCUGAUGGACUUAUUUAUGAUUGCUCGAAAAUUUAUAAAAUUAAUUUCUCUAGAAGUUUCAAACACUCCUAGAUCAUCUUAACGGAGUGGAUCGCGCUUCGAACCAGCUCCAUCAUCGCGACAAACAACGUAUAAUGCCGGCCGCGUUGAUGGACUUUUAUUACUAUGUUGCGAAAAUUUCGCCGAAAUUUAUUUUCUAGAAGUUCAAAUACUCCUAGAUUAGCACAGGCAAAUAAAUAAAAAUAUAAGAAAAUAAAAAAAAAAGACAAAAUAUAAGAAUAAUAAAAUUAUAUUUAUAGUAACUAAUGAAAAGUUGAUAUUAAAAUAUCUGACUUAUAGUUAGAGCCAAAAUUUGCACCUAAUUAAAAGCUUGAGGCGACUAAACAUUCAUGUACCCUUUAUAAUUUUAAGCCAAAAAUAAAUGCGUUAAAAAUUUGAGGAGUAAAGUACUAUGAUUCUUACUUGAGACCAAAAGCAUACUCACCUUUUUUAUAUUUAGAAUGUCUAAUUGUUAAAAUUAAAAAUCGACCAAUCAUAUUUUGGAUAUUUUAAAAGAUUUUAAAUGUGAAAUUGAUCGAUCAUCAAACUAUAAAUAUGUCAUUAAAGUUUGAUAUUAAAAUCAAAGCAAAAAAGUAUAAAACUUUUUAAAAUUAUGAACUAUUUUGAGCCAACCAUCCAACAUUUCAAAAUUUUAUUUUUACUAUCCAACCUUUCUACAUAUUAAAUUAAAAUUAUACUUACAAUAUCGAUAAAAGUUAAGGAUUAAAAUAUCAUAUGCCUUUAUAGAUAGAGUCAGAAAUUUCAACUAAAUAAAAUUUGAGGUCUAAAGUGCCACGUGCUUUAUAUAGUUUGAGCAAGAAAAUAUAACGUAUUAAAAUUCAAGUACUAAAGUAUCACAAGUCUUAUAGUUUGAGACCAAAAGCAUAAUAUACUUUUUUUAUAUUUUAAUUUUAUUUCAGAAGGAGACAAAGCUCUUUACGAUAUGCUAAACCAUUUAAUAAAUUUUAGAAUGUUUAAUUGUUAAAAUUAAAAAUCGAUCAAUCAUAUUUUGGAUAUUUCAAAAGAUUUUAAACAUGAAAUUGAUCGCUAAUCAGAUAAUAAUUAAAUAUGAUAUUAAAGUUUGAUAUUAAAAUGAAAAUUAAGACGUAUAGAAUUUUUUAGAACUAUGAACUAUUUUGAGUAAGCUAUCGAACCUUUCAAAAUUUUAUUUUUUUUAUUUAACUUUUCUACAUGUUAAAUUUGAGUAAGUGAAUAAUACUUUAACUUCAAAAUUUAAAUGCGUCGUUUAAUUUACAGAUUUAGUUAAUAUACUUCACAUGAUUUUUGCAACUAAAUUUAUUAAAAUAAAUAUUAACUUAAACUCUAUCAAUCUUUUUUUUUAUUAUUUAUUGUACAAUUUAUAUCUAAGUGAUAAAUAAUAUAAAAUUAAAAAAAUGUAUGUUUAACAUAUAUAACCUAUACGAUUUAAAAAUUAUAUAUUUUGAAUUUUAUAAUAAAAUAGAUGAGAAUUAUAUUGGAUUUUUUUAAAAAAAAAUCCGAUUCUGUCGGUUCUGAUUAGUGAACAGUGGAAAGAGAAAAUAUUAAAAUUAAAAUUAAAAAAAAAAAGGUUGGACCAGUCCCCACCCCCACCUGCUCCCCCCUCAAGCAGGGGUGUAAUGUGGGUUGCCAGACCGGCGCGGCCCGCAUUUAUCCCGGCAACGCAGGCCAGGGGUCGGCCCUGCCAGGCUCGGUUAGAAUCCAUGCCGGGCCAAGUUUUAUUGAACAUCGGCCCAUAUCGGCCCUCCAACCCAGGUGGCACGGGCCGUGUCGGGUUGGGCCAGGCCGGCCUCCGAGCCGGCUCUUUGAAUAUUUUUUUUUAUUUUUUAAACUAUAUAAAAUAUUGAAAAAUAAAAAUAAAAUAACUUUUUUUCCUAAUAUGUUGGCUAAAAGAUAAAAAUUAUUAAAACACUUAUAAAAUAUUGAAAUUUUUUAAUUUUUUUUUUUCCAAAAGAGAGCACAGGGCCCUAGACUCUUUAUUUCCUUAGCCUUUGGAUCCGAGGAGCCAACCUAGCUCCCUAUCCUAAGGUCAGUCCCCCAGAAGCCCACUAGGCCAGGCCGUGCUGGCCCUGGGCCGCACGUCCGCUCGGCACCAGACCCAUAAUGGGUCCUGCCGUCCGGUGCCGUGCCGGACCGACGGGCUCAAUUAUCUUGGCCCAGCACAGCUCGUGAUUAUCAGUCUGCCGACCAAGCACGGGCUCUACAGUACCGUGCCGUGCCUGGGCCCAGCCCGUUUUACAUCCCUACUCCUAAAGCUCCCCUUCAUCACCAUGUGGGCUGAAAUUGGUAUGAAUGGAUAGAUGCCUUAGAGUUUGAAACUAAAAUUAGUACCCGUUCCAGAUUUAUAAUAUUUCGAAAAUACUUCAUAUUUUUUACUUAAAAGUGUUUGAAAUAUUAUUAUUCGAGUCAAAGUUACAUAGUUCUAGUGUAAUCAUUGCUAGAUUUCUAGAUGAUAGAAAUAUCAGAUUAUUAUAAAUUGGAAAGUAUAUAUGCUCAUUAAUUGUCCAUUAAUAAGAAUAAUAAAUAUUGGUUCCUAACAACAUUUUUACUAAAUAAUUUGAUAAUUAGUAACAAACUUAUCAUUCUAAAAAAUAUAUAUAUAAUAUUUUUGAAAUAUCACAAACUUUGAAUCAAAUAGUUCUUUAGUAUUAACUAGACUGUUAGGCGGUGUACGAAUUGGCCGUGAGAAAUAAUUAAUUUGUUCAUGAUAAUUAUUAGGAUUUUGCAUUUCCCCAAAUAUAUAAUCGUAUAGGUUAUGUUACUAUCUUUUAGGAGGAUACAUCUGCUCAAAUAUAUGAUCGUAUAUGUUCUGUUACCAUCUUUAGAAGGAUUCUGAAUGCAUGAUAAAACAAGUAAUAUUACAUACCUCCCGUUGUAAAGAGCCACAUGGACUAGAGUAGCUGUUAUCGCCGCAAAACUAAAACCAUAGGCAACCACCAGGAAUGCACUCAUGUACAAUGGUGAGUAUUCCUCAUAUGCACUCUUAUCCAGCUCAAAUCUUUUGCUGUCCAGUACCCUUGAAAUGUUGUAUUUUCCACCGGCCUCGUCGAAUGUCCCCGCGCUGAAAAUAGGAAAUCUUCUUGCAUUGUAUGCAUUCCUCCAGUAAACGAGGGGAGUUACGACGUAAAUCGCGAGGAUGAACCCGGCGAGCGUGUUAAAUAUAGUGAAUGCUGGAUUGGCCAUGGGAUUGCCGAUCGCAGCGAUGGUCGACCAGUCAAGCCCGAUCGACCCAACCCCAAGACCAGAAAAGCCUGACCCAAUCUGUUGCGCCGUGAUUGAGCUCUUCCAAAUCCAGCAGGAGAACGAUAGGGCCAUGAUCGAGGGGAAGAAGUAGUUGGGAACAACAUAGUAAGCAAAGCUCGAGACGGCCACAAUCGUAAAGAACUGAAUUUUAGUUAGGCCUCCCUUUUGUCUCACUUCUACUUCAUGAAGUGCCCUGGAAAGCAAUGUUAGGUGUGUAUGCGUUGUGUGUGUGUGUCUAUGUGUGCGCGCGCGCGUGUGUAUAUAUAUAUAUGGCCGAUGCAUAUGCAAGUAGCAUUACGUAUUAUAUAUAUAUAUAUAUAUAUAUAUAUAUAUAUAUAUAUAUAUAUAUAUAUAUAUAUAUAUAUAUGCAUGUUUACCUGUAGGUAGAAACAUCAACUAAAGUCGAAGGCCACCACAUGUACGGAGAGUCCACGAGAAACUUCAUAAACACACCAGCAAACCCAUAACCCAUCACCUGCACAAAUUAAAACAUAAAAUUUCAUGAUGCUAGCUAGCUAGCUCCUAAAGAGAUGAUAAUUAGGAAACUUAAUUAGCUAGAAACGGUACACGCACGCAUGCAUAUUUCUGAACCAAAUUGUAUCUGUGUUCCCUGAUCAGAUACAUGCAGACAUAUAUAGAAACCGACCUGAGAUGUUUGUAUCAACAGGAGAGCAGCCCAGGGAUUAAUCUCCCUGUGGUAGAACGCUUUCAUUUGAGGUACCACCUCACUGGCAUAAGGGAUCCAAGAACCCGACGAAGCUAGAAUCAUGACGAGCGCGUGCUCUUUGAUAUUGAAGGGCCCGGGAUUGAGUGAAACCUUCCAUCCGGUCCACGGGAUUCUCAAGCACUUUGCGGGGAGGGUCGCGGCCAUCAAUCUUCCGAGCGCAAGGAGGCCUAGUUGUUGCAAGGUUUGGUCUAACCCGAUCUGAUUCUGGCGAUACACGAAGAAUUCAUUGAGAAAGGCUAUAAGGGCACAUGAACUGAUGCCCAGGACCCAUGUUCUGAGCGUAAGCACCGGCAAAUCCUUGUCGUCGGUCGUCGGAACCGUGAGCCUCACCUCCUCUAUCGGAGAAUCAUCAUGCACUUCACCUACAUUCACCACAAGAAAAUUAUCAUUUACGACUACUUUUUCUUUUCAUAUUUAACGAUUCUUAAAAGUGUUCCUCUAUAGUCUAGGAUCACAAUUGAAAACGUCCGUUAAAAUAUUGAUAAAUAAAGAGUCGCUACGUAUAUACCGGUAUAUGCCGAGUGUUAAUUUGUAAAAUACAUUCUAACGUUUUAAAGGCAUUACGUUUUUUUUAGAUUUUUUUUUAAAUCCAACAUUUUAAAGAAUCAAAAAAUUUAAAAUAAUAGUACAUUUUAUCAUUCGAUAAAUUGGUUUGAUAUAAUAGAGUAUUCAUAUGACGAUAUUUUUUAAAGCGUCGGUAUUUGUUAUAUUGUAGGAACGUUUAGAAACACUUCUUCCAUGCGUGGUCCAAAAAAUAUUCUUGUAUUGAGAUGUUCUCAUAGUGAUUAUUAGGAUACAUAUGCCAUCAUUAAUCCUAAAUGUUGUUCUAUGUUUGUAGAUCCUGAGAAUUAAUUAAUUGUUUUCUUCGGAUCACAAUGACUAUUUACAUGUCUGCAAGUUUGAUUCUAUGGCUGUGAAAAAUAGUGUGACAAAGAAAAAAAAACAGCUUGAAUAAGAACAGGAUAAAUAUACUUAAUUUAUAGAUGUGUUUAAUUGCAUAUAUCAAUUAGCCAAACAUAUAUACAAAAUGAAAAACUUGAGUGGGUGUUUGAUUUCAUGUAAAUCUACUAGAGAAGAUUUUUAGGAGAGAAAAUUAAGCUUUUCCCAUGAAAAGAAAAUUUAUAUAUUUUGUUGUCUUGAUUCAGUGUCCAUAGUAGAAUAACAUUUUAAGCAUAUUUUUUUAAAUGAAACUUUGAAAUAAUAGAAAAUUAGUGAGGAAUGGUAAAAAAAUAUUGUAGGUCCAUGAAAAGGUACAUAAAAAAGACGCUUACACAGUGGGCGUGAUGGAUCCAUCAUAGACAUUAUUGGACUUUUUAAUAUGCCCCACUUCUUUGUGAAAACGCCACUUAAUUUGUUGAUGUAGUUUUUAACGAGAUCGAUCUUAUUGAAAUAAUGCAUGUGAACCAAAAUAUAAUGCAUCUUAUAUUUAAAUUUUAAAAAUUGUUCUAAUUUAGAAACUUUUUCACCCAUAUAUCAAUAGCAUAUUGAACAUGAAUAUAGACGAAUUUAGCCAAAUAAGAAAGAGGAAUAAAUGCUACUCAUUCAAGUUUUUUUUUCCUUUUUUUGUACUAUAUGACAGGAGAUAACAAAUGAACAAGGAAAUAACAGAUUAGUAAUGUGCAUUUUAUGUCAAUAAUUUAUCGUCAAUAGAUAACAGUUUUAUAGAAGGAAAAGAAAUUAUUGUAGUAUAAUUACGAGCAGUAUAAAAGGAAGUAAUUGGAGUAAUUGUACAGCUAAGUUAGAGUACUAUAUAUACAAUAUUAAUAUUGCAAAUCGGUCCCUAUACUCUUCAAAUGAAAAGAAACGAUAUAUAUUUUUUUAGAAAUAAAUUUAAGUAGAAAUAUAGACCAACUAUGCCAUGCAAGGCUUUUUUUCUUUUUUAAAUUUUUACUAAUUUUAUCUCGAAAAUAUUUAAAAUUUACAAAAGCAUUAGCUAAGCAUAUCUCAAAUGACAAACUUGGGUGAUAAAAAGAGAAAAGCUUUAAAAACAUUUUAUGCAUAUUUUUAAGCGAACCUUUUAAAUAAUGGAUAAAUAAAGGGAUAUGGUAAAAUAUUUGUGCAGGUCUAUGAAAAGGUGCAUGAGAAAGGCGCUUACACAAUGGGGGUGAUUGGUCCAUAGAGAUAUUGCACUUUUUGAUAUGCCCCUCUUCUUUGCCAAAGCACCACUUUGUUGAUGUAGUUUUCGACGAGAUGUUACUAAAACAAUUUGAUUUUCUCAAAAAAAAAAAAACAAUUUGAGCCCAAAUAUAAUUCACUGUAUUUUUAAUUUUUAAAAUUUGUUCCAAUUUAGAAUCUUUUUGGUCCACGCAUCAAUACCCUAUAUUGAACAUGAAUAUAGAGAAAAUUCAACUAAAAAUGUAAAGCAACUAAAACCUACAAAAAACUUUUUUAUUAGUUUCCUCUCGAACAUAUUUUAAUUUUAAAUGCUUUUGUACUAAAAAUUUCUAAAGUUUAUUACUCAUAAAUAACAAUAAAUAAUUUAUAAAACUAAUAUUAAAAUUUAAAAUUUUAAAAAUUAAAAAAUAAAAUGAAAAGUGUGGCCUGGUUUGGUAUAAUUAUCAUUUUUUUUUAAAUGCUUAUACUGUAUAGUUUGAUUUGUUGUAAGAAAUAUAUUUUUUGUUAUAGUUGAUUAGCUUGUAAUGCAUCCAACGGACAACUUAUAUUUUUUAAGAAAAUAUUAGAAGCAUAAUAAAAUAUUUUCAAAUUUUAUUUUUUACUGUUUUUUUUUUUAGAGAUAGGUAGCACGCUACCCGCUUCGUUUAUUUCAUUUAGAAAUAAACUUAGCUGGAAGUGUGAAUCAACUAAAAUUCGAACUUGGGUCUCGGGUAUCAAUUACCAAGCCCUUUGCCACUUGCUGCUCUAGGGACGGUCGGUAAUUUUAUUUUUUACUAUUAAAGUAAACACUUUGAAUGAAAGGAUUGCAACAAAAUAUCAUACACUCCUGCUCCUUUUGAUAUAUAAAAUUCUAUUUAAAAAAAUAAAAAAAUAAAUACGAAUGAAAAAGAAAGAAUGUGUUUACGGCAUCCCUUUCCUUUGGAGCUUCAAGAUCCCUUUGAGAGUUAAAGUUUUUAUUUGGCUCGCCGCGAGAAACAAAAUCCUCACAGCCAACACACUAUCCAAAAGGGGCUGGCAUGGUCCUUCGAUUUGCAUUUUCUGUUCGAUCAACGGGGAGAACUUAGAACACAUCCUUUUCUGUUGCAAUUAUGCAAAGGCUGUUUGGAACCUCCUGCUACAAUCCGCUCCAACAACUCAGCGCUUGUUGCUGACACAGCCAGGGGACUUAUUAGAGAGAUGGAAUCGUGCUCGAAACUUUGUGAGGGGCUGGGGGAAAAAAUUGUUCGAUCUAUGCUUCUCGACAGCUUGCUGGGAACUGUGGAAGGAGAGAAACAAUCGUAUAUUCAGCGUACAACUUACUCGAAGCGACGAAACGGGAAUGCGAGUGGCUAACACAAUGAAUCUUUGGCAACAUGCGCUAGGAGUAUGAUCACAUAAAAGGGUGAACUUCCCUGUGAGGCAAAUUUCCAUGUGGUCCCUUGGACACUUUCGGGUAGCUUUCUAUUUGUAUCUUUCUGUGUUUCUUCACGCACGCUUAUUCUUGUAUCUUUCUGCUUAAAGCCUCACGACAACUUGGUCGCAUCUGUACACCCCUCAACUUGUAACACAAAUAGGAUAAAUCCCUGUUUACUCAAAAAAGAAAAAGAAAGAGUGCCUUCUACGAAUUGAAGGCAUAAAUGAAGCCUUGAAACUGCUAGGAAUUGUUUUUGACCAACAUUUAAUCUAGAUGUAGUGAAAAAAAAUUACAGGAAAAAGAAGUAUUGUACCUGUAUCUCGAGAACGAGAAGUCGAUAAAUUUUCUCUGUCGCAAAAAGUUCCAGCUUAAACCAAUUUUGCAUUCGAAAGGCAAGAAAUACAAAUUCCACUUUCACAAUAAAUACAAAUUUUUUUUUCUUCUAUUAAUUUGUUACCUAAUUGAUUGGAUACAAAUGCUACCUAAUUAAUUAAAGAGAGAUAUGAAGCGAGAUAUGAAUUUUACCUAAUCAAAAUGAUACAUAUAAAUGAGACCGCUCUCAAUUAACAAAAAAGGAAUACAACUAGUCCCCCUUAAGGAGUGCUCUACCCACCCAUAUGAUGUUAUAGCCAGUCCAUAAAUAGUAUAAUAAGACCUAAAAUUGCAUAUAGCUCUCGAUCGGUUAGAUGGGGCUGGAUCACCCACCAAUGCUUUAGCAUCGAAUUCUUGUACAACUUCUUUCUGGAGGUUACGAAUUCUGGUGAAAGUUAAAGUUUUUGUAUGGCUAUUUCUGAAUCUUUAGAAGUGUGGGUACUAAGACGAACAAUUUCAGAUUUUUUUUUUUUACUAACAACAUUGUGAUCAUCUUUUCUGUAACUCUGUGUAUUUUUGCUAUACACAGAAGACUUUGUAAGGAUGGAUAGUUGCUCUACGAAGUUCGUGCUAUAAAGGGUGCCUAGAUGGAGUAAAGAUGAAAAUCUUGACAAAGUUUCAUCUGUCAACUAACCCAUCAUUAGAAUGUGCGAUUGAUUUAUAAUAAGAUAUAGAUACUUAGCAGAUAUAUAAUGCAUGAACUACGAUUUUUAUUAAUUCAUGGCAUGGGAAAAUUGGGUUUACAAUCAUCAAUUUUCUUGGUUUCCUUUUCAUAUAAAGCAGAGAACAAGUCAUAACAAAACUGCAAAUACAGUAUACGGUUGAAUAACUUUAAAAAAGGAUAUGAUGAUAUAUAUUAACAAUGUAUACAAGACAAUUUCCCCUCUAUCGUAUUAUCUAUACGAGAUACCAACUUUUAUUUUGAAGAAAAUGAGCAAAGUUAUUUUGUACUAUAAACAUGUGUGUAUGUUCAGCAGCUGCAUGAGAAGAACUCCGAACUCUGAACUCCAAACUGUAUUUGCAAAUGAAUAAAAUCUAAGCAAGAAGAAUUUUCACGAACUCUGAAAAUCUUCGGGCCGUUGCAAGCACUCCUUGGG